Molecule: transfer RNA, 73 nt
Filed under: Pteropus alecto (black flying fox)
Lineage: Eukaryota; Metazoa; Chordata; Mammalia; Chiroptera; Pteropodidae
Rfam family: tRNA
About the family: Transfer RNA (tRNA) molecules are approximately 80 nucleotides in length. Their secondary structure includes four short double-helical elements and three loops (D, anti-codon, and T loops).
Source: Rfam by way of RNAcentral
GGUUUCAUAGUGUAGCGGUUAGCACGUCUGCUUUACACACAGAAGGUCCUGGGUUCGCGCCCCCGUAGAGCCA